This 1346-nucleotide ribosomal RNA is filed under the name uncultured bacterium. RNAcentral describes it as "partial 16S ribosomal RNA". It matches the Rfam family "Bacterial small subunit ribosomal RNA", at positions 28 to 1381 of the family's 1533-position model. The record is from RNAcentral.
GACGAACGCUGGCGGCGUGCUUAACACAUGCAAGUCGAACGGAAAGGCCCUGCUUUUGUGGGGUGCUCGAGUGGCGAACGGGUGAGUAACACGUGAGUAACCUGCCCUUGACUUUGGGAUAACUUCAGGAAACUGGGGCUAAUACCGGAUAGGAGCUCCUGCUGCAUGGUGGGGGUUGGAAAGUUUCGGCGGUUGGGGAUGGACUCGCGGCUUAUCAGCUUGUUGGUGGGGUAGUGGCUUACCAAGGCUUUGACGGGUAGCCGGCCUGAGAGGGUGACCGGCCACAUUGGGACUGAGAUACGGCCCAGACUCCUACGGGAGGCAGCAGUGGGGAAUAUUGCACAAUGGGCGGAAGCCUGAUGCAGCAACGCCGCGUGCGGGAUGACGGCCUUCGGGUUGUAAACCGCUUUCGCCUGUGAUGAAGCGUGAGUGACGGUAAUGGGUAAAGAAGCACCGGCUAACUACGUGCCAGCAGCCGCGGUGAUACGUAGGGUGCGAGCGUUGUCCGGAUUUAUUGGGCGUAAAGGGCUCGUAGGUGGUUGAUCGCGUCGGAAGUGUAAUCUUGGGGCUUAACCCUGAGCGUGCUUUCGAUACGGGUUGACUUGAGGAAGGUAGGGGAGAAUGGAAUUCCUGGUGGAGCGGUGGAAUGCGCAGAUAUCAGGAGGAACACCAGUGGCGAAGGCGGUUCUCUGGGCCUUUCCUGACGCUGAGGAGCGAAAGCGUGGGGAGCGAACAGGCUUAGAUACCCUGGUAGUCCACGCUGUAAACGGUGGGUACUAGGUGUGGGGUCCAUUCCACGGGUUCCGUGCCGUAGCUAACGCUUUAAGUACCCCGCCUGGGGAGUACGGCCGCAAGGCUAAAACUCAAAGGAAUUGACGGGGCCCCGCACAAGCGGCGGAGCAUGCGGAUUAAUUCGAUGCAACGCGUAGAACCUUACCUGGGUUUGACAUGGAUCGGGAGUGCUCAGAGAUGGGUGUGCCUCUUUUGGGGUCGGUUCACAGGUGGUGCAUGGCUGUCGUCAGCUCGUGUCGUGAGAUGUUGGGUUAAGUCCCGCAACGAGCGCAACCCUUGUUCACUGUUGCCAGCACGUUAUGGUGGGGACUCAGUGGAGACCGCCGGGGUCAACUCGGAGGAAGGUGGGGAUGACGCCAAGUCAUCAUGCCCCUUAUGUCCAGGGCUUCACGCAUGCUACAAUGGCUGGUACAGAGAGUGGCGAGCCUGUGAGGGUGAGCGAAUCUCGGAAAGCCGGUCUCAGUUCGGAUUGGGGUCUGCAACUCGACCUCAUGAAGUCGGAGUCGCUAGUAAUCGCAGAUCAGCAACGCUGCGGUGAAUACGUUCCCGGGGCU